RNAcentral lists this ribosomal RNA (448 nucleotides) under uncultured bacterium. RNAcentral's name for it is "SSU rRNA". It matches the Rfam family "Bacterial small subunit ribosomal RNA", at positions 26 to 518 of the family's 1533-position model. The record is from RNAcentral.
AGAGCGAACGCUGGCGGCAGGCUUAACACAUGCAAGUCGAGCGGGCGUAGCAAUACGUCAGCGGCAGACGGGUGAGUAACGCGUGGGAACAUACCUUUUGGUUCGGAACAACCCAGGGAAACUUGGGCUAAUACCGGAUAAGCCCUUACGGGGAAAGAUUUAUCGCCGAAAGAUUGGCCCGCGUCUGAUUAGCUAGUUGGUGAGGUAACGGCUCACCAAGGCGACGAUCAGUAGCUGGUCUGAGAGGAUGAUCAGCCACAUUGGGACUGAGACACGGCCCAAACUCCUACGGGAGGCAGCAGUGGGGAAUAUUGGACAAUGGGCGCAAGCCUGAUCCAGCCAUGCCGCGUGAGUGAUGAAGGCCCUAGGGUUGUAAAGCUCUUUCGCUCGGGACGAUAAUGACGGUACCGAGAUAAGAAGCCCCGGCUAACUUCGCGCCAGCAGCCGC